GCUGGGUGUGGUGGUGCACAUCUGUGAUCCCACCAGCUCAGGUGGCUGAGGCAGGAGGAUCUCAAGGUCAAAGCCAGCCUCAGCAACUUAGGGAGGUCCUAAACAACUUAUUGAGACCUUGUCUCUA
Molecule: small RNA, 127 nt
Filed under: Marmota monax (woodchuck)
Lineage: Eukaryota; Metazoa; Chordata; Mammalia; Rodentia; Sciuridae
Source: RNAcentral